GACAGACUCCUACGGGAGGCAGCAGUGGGGAAUAUUGCACAAUGGGGGAAACCCUGAUGCAGCGACGCCGCGUGGGUGAAGAAGUACUUCGGUACGUAAAGCCCUACCAGCAGGGAAGAAAAUGACGGUACCUGAUUAAGAAGCCCCGGCUAACUACGUGCCAGCAGCAGCGGUAAUACGUAGGUGGCAAGCGUUAUCCGGAUUUACUGGGUGUAAAGGGCGUGUAGGCGGGGGCGCAAGUCAGAUGUGAAAACCACGGGCUCAAACGGGGGCCUGCAUUUGAAACUGUGUUUCUUGAGUACUGGUGAGGCAGACGGGAUUCCUAGUGUAGCGGUGAAAUGCGUAGAUAUUAGGAGGGACACCAGUGGCGAAGGCGGGCUGCUGGACAGCAACUGACGCUGAGGCGCGAAAGCGUGGGG
Molecule: ribosomal RNA, 419 nt
Filed under: uncultured bacterium
Lineage: Bacteria
Description: bacterial SSU rRNA
Rfam family: Bacterial small subunit ribosomal RNA
Source: RNAcentral